UUGAACGCUGGCGGCAGGCUUAACACAUGCAAGUCGAGCGGUAGCACAGGGGAGCUUGCUCCCUGGGUGACGAGCGGCGGACGGGUGAGUAAUGUCUGGGAAACUGCCUGAUGGAGGGGGAUAACUACUGGAAACGGUAGCUAAUACCGCAUAACGUCGCAAGACCAAAGAGGGGGACCUUCGGGCCUCUUGCCAUCAGAUGUGCCCAGAUGGGAUUAGCUAGUAGGUGGGGUAAUGGCUCACCUAGGCGACGAUCCCUAGCUGGUCUGAGAGGAUGACCAGCCACACUGGAACUGAGACACGGUCCAGACUCCUACGGGAGGCAGCAGUGGGGAAUAUUGCACAAUGGGCGCAAGCCUGAUGCAGCCAUGCCGCGUGUGUGAAGAAGGCCUUCGGGUUGUAAAGCACUUUCAGCGAGGAGGAAGGUGGUGAGCUUAAUACGUUCAUCAAUUGACGUUACUCGCAGAAGAAGCACCGGCUAACUCCGUG
Molecule: ribosomal RNA, 489 nt
Filed under: uncultured bacterium
Lineage: Bacteria
Description: partial 16S ribosomal RNA
Rfam family: Bacterial small subunit ribosomal RNA
Source: RNAcentral